ACGGGUGAGUAACGCGUAGGAAUCUGUCUAUGAGAGUGGGACAACACGGGGAAACUCGUGCUAAUACCACAUACGUUCUAAGGAAGAAAGGCUGGGGUAACCCAGUCGCUCAUAGGGGAGCCUGCGUUGGAUUAGCUUGUUGGUGGGGUAACGGCCUACCAAGGCGACGAUCCAUAGCUGUUCUGAGAGGAAGAUCAGCCACACUGGGACUGAGACACGGCCCAGACUCUUACGGGAGGCAGCAGUGGGGAAUAUUGGACAAUGGGCGCAAGCCUGAUCCAGCAAUACCGCGUGUGUGAAGAAGGCCUGAGGGUUGUAAAGCACUUUCAGCGAGGAGGAAGGUUAUCAUGUUAAUAGUAUGGUAAUUUGACGUUACUCGCAGAAGAAGCACCGGCUAACUCUGUGCCAGCAGCCGCGGUAAUACAGAGGGUGCAAGCGUUAAUCGGAAUUACUGGGCGUAAAGAGUGCGUAGGUGGAUAAUUAAGUCAUAUGUGAAAUCCCCGGGCUUAACCUGGGAAUUGCGUCUGAAACUGGUUAUCUAGAGUAUGGUAGAGGAUAGUGGAAUUUCCGGUGUAGCGGUGA
This 582-nucleotide ribosomal RNA is filed under the name uncultured bacterium. RNAcentral's name for it is "bacterial SSU rRNA". It matches the Rfam family "Bacterial small subunit ribosomal RNA", at positions 102 to 684 of the family's 1533-position model. The record is from RNAcentral.